This 496-nucleotide ribosomal RNA is filed under the name uncultured bacterium. Its description in RNAcentral is "bacterial SSU rRNA". It matches the Rfam family "Bacterial small subunit ribosomal RNA", at positions 26 to 518 of the family's 1533-position model. The record is from RNAcentral.
AGGAUGAACGCUGGCGGCGUGCCUAAUACAUGCAAGUCGAACGCACGAUCAAGCUUGCUUGAGAGUGAGUGGCGAACGGGUGAGUAAUACAUAAGCAACCUGCCCACGAAGACCGGGAUAACUUCUGGAAACGGGAACUAAGACCGGAUAGGUAUAGAGAAGGCAUCUUCUUUAUAUUAAAGGUGAGAAACACUGGUGGAUGGGCUUAUGGCGCAUUAGUUAGUUGGUGAGGUAACGGCCCACCAAGACGAUGAUGCGUAGCCGGCCUGAGAGGGUGAACGGCCACAUUGGGACUGAGACACGGCCCAGACUCCUACGGGAGGCAGCAGUAGGGAAUUUUCGGCAAUGGGGGCAACCCUGACCGAGCAACGCCGCGUGAAGUGAAGACGGCCUUCGGGUUGUAAAGCUCUGUUGUAAGGGAAGAACGGCAUGGAGAGGAUCCAUGAGUGACGGUACCUUACCAGAAAGCCACGGCUAACUACGUGCCAGCAGCAGC